Long non-coding RNA from Pongo pygmaeus (Bornean orangutan), 4028 nucleotides. RefSeq lists it as uncharacterized. Lineage: Eukaryota; Metazoa; Chordata; Mammalia; Primates; Hominidae. The transcript has 5 exons. The record is from RefSeq and is a predicted model, not a curated record.
CGCUCUUUCGCCCAGGCCGGACUGCAUGGCGCUAUCUCAGCUCACUGCAAACUCCGCCUCCCAGGUUCACGCCAUUCUCCUGCCUCAGCCUCCCGAGUAGCUGGGACUACAGGCACCCACCACCACGCCCGGGUUCGGAAUUGGCCAUGGCGAAGUGUUAACUGUGCUGCUGUCUAAUGUGGAAUGUAGUGGCAGAUGAACCUGGGAAGAGGAGAAACAAGAAAAGGGCUAAAAGGGGGAGAGAUGGUAGAAGAAAAAAAAUACGGUGGAUACAGUGGAACCACCAGGUGGCGCCAUGCUACAAUAUGACUCUUGGAAGUCUCCUUUUAAAGAGAGAGCAAGGGACCACAAGAGAAACCUACCAGAAAAUACAAAUGGUCCAACUCUGAAUGGGAAUGGAAAACAUACCUGUACAAAAUAUGCACUAAAAAAAAAAAUCAAAAGUCUAACAAUAUAUAUUGAACAACUGUGUAUUACAAAGACUCCCUGGCAAGUUCUCAUCUGUUCUGACCAGUUGGUAUUUUCAGCGUUCUUCAUUCACUUUGGCCAUUUUGUCUAUCCACAAGAUCUCUGAAGAGAUCAGGUGUCCAAGCUUUGGCCCAGCAAACACAUUCUAGAAACUUCUUGCCAGAGAAGCAGCCAUUCUCAGCUCAGAAACCCGGAAACAGCAGCUGAAAUGUUUUACAUACUCCCUACAGAAGCAGCACCCAGAUGAAGCCCUGCGGGAGAGCACAGCAGCAGCGGAGGCUCUGGGAGAAGGCGUGGUGUCUAAGGCAAAGGACUCUGCCAGCUUACACAUUUAUUUGAAAGACACAGACAUAAAAAGGAUGAAUAUUAUGUUUAUAUAACUUAAAGCAAUGGUAAGAAAUAGGUAACUAGGUGAGGCUCUGAAGAUUUUGAAAGAAGUGUGUUACUUGCUUGCUGCUCCUUUAAGGGAGAAAAACAAAACAAAAAACAUACCCAUAAGCCUAGGAAUUCUUUCUGGGCCCCCAAGGCAGGUUCUCAGCUGCAUUUAACUGUCUAAAGCUACUGAACUCAUGAGUUCUAGUGAGUUGUAAAAGCUCUAAUGAACUCCAUAGCUUGGAUUUACAAAACAGAAAAUCUAGGGGUUAGAAUGAAGCACCGGUUUUCCUUUUCUGCUAAGAUUACCUUCAGCUUUCUUCAAUACCAAGAUCACCAUUCUUUGAGAACCUCCUUAUAAGAUCCCAGAUCAAACACUUGAUCUUACUCAGGGAGUAACUGUUUUCUUUAGUAAAUACAAAUAUUUUUUUUUCUUCUAGGCAUCAAAGGCAAACCAGAUAGAACAUUAAGAUGAUGGGCAUUAAAAAGAUGAGGUAAGGGUCAAAAUGAGCCUAGAGGUUGCAUAUAUCUACAAUAAAGUUUUUUUUUUUCCUUCCUGCAUAGAUGGAGCAGCUUCAUUGAAAAACACUUUUAUUUUUUUCCUUCCUGCAUAGAUGGAGCAGCUCAUUGAAAAACACUUUUAUUUUUUCAAAGAUUCAGGGUCUUCCUCUGUCACCCAGGCUGAAGUGCAGAGGCACCAUCGUAACUCAAGCUCACUGUAACCUUUAACUCCUGGGCUCAAGGAAUCCUGGGACAAGGUAUCAAAGGCAAACCCUCAUAGUCUGAGAAACAUUAUGAAAACCAAAAGUUAGUUAAGGUGCCACAACAUAAAAAGUCAGAUGAUGAGUCAUUUAAUGGUUUCAUUCUUACUGGACCAUUCUGGAUGGAGACAAUAAGUAGAAGGUAAAACUUCAAUGACUUGAGUUUGCAUAUAGUGUACUUCAAGCAGAGGGCACAGAAUUUCCUUUGUCUUUAUCAAUUUUGUAGAUUUUUGCAUCUUCAUAAAUAUUAGCAAUUUCUAGACUCUGAUACUCUAUUUUAUAGAUUUGUCUUUUUGUGGUUAUGUGCCCCUCCUUCAACAUUUUAUGCAUAUCCUUUAAAAACAUAAGCUCACAAUGUAAUUGCUCUUGGUCUACCAACAUCAGUUUCUUCAGAUACUUUUUCAUAGUUGGGAUUGUCAGAAUUUUAUUUUGCAAAGAACUUCAUUUUAAGCCAGUUUCUUUUUAGAAUCUUUGGAUAUGGGAUAAGGACAAAAGUUACCAGAAGUUUUGAAAUAGUCUUUCCUAAUAUUUGUCUUGACUUUUCUGUUUUUAGAAUGUUUUGUGGCAAUUCUCAUAAAACGAAACCUAACUCACCUAUUCUCAGUAUUCGACCAGCAAAACACCUCACUUACCUGUGCACAUGAUCUAAUGCAACAAAAAGUCCCUAACAGGUUACAUCUGGUGAGUAUGCAGACAUACAGAUCUUCUUUGUCUUAAAACAGGUUUUAGCUGUGGCACUGACAUUUUGGACCAAACCAAUCUUUGUUGUGGGGGCUGUCCUGUACAUCACAGGAUAUUUAGCAGCAUCCCUACUUUCCACUCCCCAGAUCCUGUACCACCCCUUCCUCAAGCUGUGAUAACCAAAACUGUCUCCUGACAUUGCUCUAAUGUCUCCAUGGGGAGCAAAAUCACUCCCUAUGGGAACCAGUGUCAUAAACCAUUUUAGAGGCAAACUAUAAACUAACUCCCCAAACUGUGAUGGUGGAAAUAGUCUAUAACUUCCUAAUACAGCAGCUGAUCACUACAUGACACUGCUAAGCACCUGAAAUAUGGCUAAGUAUGAGGAGAAUUCUUAAUUUCAUUUUAAUUAAGUCCUACAUAUACUAUAAGGACAAGAUGCUUCAUCAUGGAAAGCUGUGUAGAUAUCUGAUACCUGUUAAAAAUCAUGUGGUUGAUUGAUGAUAGGCAAUAAAAACUUACAGAAAAGGUUUCUGUAAGGACCACCAUGUUGUCCAGGCUGGUCUCAAACUAUCCACCCACCUCCACCUCCACCUCCAAAAGAGCUGGGAUUACAGGUGUGAGUCACUGCACCGGGCAUAAAUGUUUUAUUAGUCCUAUUUCUAUCCAUUUAAUUUUCAUUCUGUCUAGGUAUUUGUUAAAAGGUGAACUGUGAAGUUAAAGAUUACAAUGAUUGAUUGAUUGAUUGAUAGAAAUUUAAAUUCUCUUUUAAAUCAAAAAGUUUUAAGUUGUUUUUUGCAUGAUAGGAAUCAUGACUGAAAAUAUAAGAAUGCAAAAAAGGUGCUCUAACUGAAUUCUGGUAAAUAAUUCCUUCCUUGAAAGAAAAGAAAAAAACUAUACAAAUUUAAAGGAAAGGCCAACCAGGAUUGAAAGAAAACAUUUAUUGAAUCAAAAUCAAUACUUUCUUUUUAAUAUCUACAAGCCAACACAGAACUCAUUUUAUUCAAGAAUGAACACAAUGUACAAAAAAAGUAUGCUUAUAUUAUAAAAAUAUGUCAAUUUUAUCUUCUGGGUGCUUAGCAGAAGUCAUUUUAAACAAAAUCAAGGCAAACUUGUUCUCUAUAAUGAGUCUGCUAUAAUUUAACAACAAAGUGAAAGCUAAUGUACUCACGAAGUAUUUUUAAAGGCCCACUGAUAAUGCUGCACUGGAAAUGCUAAACCCAAUGGUAACUAAAGUCAACAUUUCCGCUCUAUGCUUAUUGGCACCACUUCAUGCCUACAUCACGGGAAAGUACCUCUUUCACAGAAUGCAGAUCACCGCUAACAAUCCAUGUGACUCAGUCUUCAGUUUCCCUUGCUUAACAUUUGUUGUUAGCAUAUAUUUCAGCAAAGAUUAACAGUAUAAUGAAUGUUGAGUAGUAAAAUCCUAUUUAAUGAGCUUCAAUUUAAAAAUGAGAUAUGCUGCUAUGGGAACAAAUGACCUCUUGAGAUUUACAACCCCAUUUAUAAAUGUGGGAAAGCUGCCUCCCUAAAAAAAAAAAAAUUAUGUCCAGGGUUAAACCGUAUCUUUUUUUGUAGUUUUCUUAUUUCUUGAUUGAUUUUAUUGGCACCUCCCAGGCACUUUGGCUUGUGCUCCUGUAUAAAGUGUAUUACUGUGCCUGUAGAGUUAGUGGCAGCUGCAGAGUAGUUAUAGGCUGACAAGUCCACUUUUGGCUUACCAUGGAGAUCUGCUCUAACACAUGCUGGUCG